Molecule: ribosomal RNA, 440 nt
Filed under: uncultured bacterium
Lineage: Bacteria
Description: partial 16S ribosomal RNA
Rfam family: Bacterial small subunit ribosomal RNA
Source: RNAcentral
CCUACGGGUGACAGCAGUGGGGAAUAUUGCACAAUGGGGGAAACCCUGAUGCAGCAACGCCGCGUGAGUGAAGAAGGAUUUCGGUAUGUAAAGCUCUAUUAGCAGGGAAGAAGAGUACGGUACCUGAGGAAGAAUCCCCGUGCAACUACGAGACCGCUGCCGCGUGUACACGGCGGGGGCCGGCGUUAUCCGGAUUAUCUGGGCGUAAAGGGAGCGUAUACGGUGUGACAAGUCUGAAGGGAAAUCCCGGGGGUCAAGCCCGGGCCUGCUUUGGAAACUGCGUGACUGGAGUGCUGGCGAGGCAAGCGGAAUUCUUAGUGUAGCGGUGAAAUGCGUAGAUAUUAGGAAGAACACCAGUGGCGAAGGCGGCUUGCUGGACAGUAACUGACGUUGAGGCUCGAAAGCGUGGGGAGCAAACAGGAUUAGAUACCCCUGUAGUC